AGAGUUUGAUCCUGGCUCAGAAUGAACGCUGGCGGCGUGCUUAACACAUGCAAGUCGUACGAGAACACCCUAGCUUGCUAGGGUAAGUAAAGUGGCGCACGGGUGAGUAACGCGUGGGUAAUCUACCUUCGAAUUGGGGAUAACGUUGCGAAAGCGACGCUAAUACCGAAUAACAUCCAUUAAUCUUCGGGUUUUUGGAUCAAGGGUGGCCUCUACAUGUAAGCUACUGUUUGAAGAUGAGCCCGCGUACCAUUAGCUUGUUGGUGGGGUAAUGGCCUACCAAGGCAGCGAUGGUUAGCUGGUCUGAGAGGAUGAUCAGCCACACUGGAACUGACACACGGUCCAGACUCCUACGGGAGGCAGCAGUGAGGAAUUUUGCGCAAUGGGGGAAACCCUGACGCAGCAACGCCGCGUGAGUGAUGAAGGCUUUCGGGUCGUAAAGCUCUGUCAAGUGGGAAGAACCUGCAGUAUGCUAAUAUCAUAUUGCACUGACGGUACCACUGAAGGAAGCACCGGCUAACUCCGUGCCAGCAGCCGCGGUAAUACGGGAGGUGCAAGCGUUAUUCGGAAUCAUUGGGCGUAAAGAGCACGUAGGCGGCCUGGUAAGUCAGAUGUGUAAGCCCGGGGCUUAACCCCGGAAGUGCAUUUGAUACUGUCAGGCUUGAGUAUGGGAGAGGGAAGUGGAAUUCCUGGUGUAGAGGUGAAAUUCGUAGAUAUCAGGAGGAACACCGGUGGCGAAGGCGACUUCCUGGACCAUAUUGACGCUGAGGCUCGAAAGUGUGGGGAGCGAACAGGAUUAGAUACCCUGGUAGUCCACACUGUAAUCGAUGAAUACUAGGUGUUGGACCCGUUAACGGUUCAGCACCGCAAGCUAACGCGCUAAGUAUUCCGCCUGGGGAGUACGCUCGCAAGAGUGAAACUCAAAGGAAUUGGCGGGGGCCCGCACAAGCGGUGGAGGAUGUGGUUUAAUUCGAAGCAACGCGAAGAACCUUACCAGGACUUGACAUGGAAGUGACCGUACGAGAGAUCGUAUUUUAUGCCUUCGGGUAUACACUUCACACAGGUGCUGCAUGGCUGUCGUCAGCUCGUGUCGUGAGAUGUUGGGUUAAGUCCCGCAACGAGCGCAACCCUCGUCUUUAGUUGCCAUCCUGUCUUCGGGCAGAGGCCCUCUAGAGAGACUGUCGGUAAUAAACCGGAGGAAGGUGGGGACGACGUCAAGUCAUCAUGGCCCUUACGUCCUGGGCUACACACGUCCUACAAUGGUCGGUACAGCGAGUAGCGAGAUCGCGAGGUCAAGCCAAUCUCUUAAAACCGGCCUCAGUUCGGAUUGCAGUCUGCAACUCGACUGCAUGAAGGUGGAAUCGCUAGUAAUCGCGGAUCAGCACGCCGCGGUGAAUACGUUCCCGGGCCUUGUACACACCGCCCGUCAAGCCAUGGAAGAAGGGAGCGCUCGAAGUCGUGAUGGUAACCUGCAAAGGAGCCUAGCGCCGAAAGUGAGAUCUUUGACUGGGGCUAAGUCGUAACAAGGUA
This 1530-nucleotide ribosomal RNA is filed under the name metagenome. RNAcentral describes it as "bacterial SSU rRNA". It matches the Rfam family "Bacterial small subunit ribosomal RNA". The record is from RNAcentral.